CGGCAAACUCCGUGCCAGCAGCCGCGGUAAUACGAAGGGGGCAAGCGUUGUUCGGAAUUAUUGGGCGUAAAGGGCAUGUAGGCGGUUCGGUAAGUUAAAGGUGAAAUCCCAGGGCUUAACCCUGGAGCUGCUUUUAAUACUGCCAAACUAGAGUCCGGGAGAGGAUAGUGGAAUUCCUAGUGUAGAGGUGAAAUUCGUAGAUAUUAGGAGGAACACCAGUGGCGAAGGCGGCUAUCUGGUCCGGUACUGACGCUGAAGUGCGAAAGCCUGGGGAGCAAACAGGAUUAGAUACCCUGGUAGUCCAC
Molecule: ribosomal RNA, 305 nt
Filed under: Anaplasma phagocytophilum
Lineage: Bacteria; Pseudomonadati; Pseudomonadota; Alphaproteobacteria; Rickettsiales; Anaplasmataceae
Description: bacterial SSU rRNA
Rfam family: Bacterial small subunit ribosomal RNA
Source: RNAcentral